GACGAACGCUGGCGGCGUGCUUAACACAUGCAAGUCGAACGAUGAAGCCGGAGCUUGCUCUGGUGAAUUAGUGGCGAACGGGUGAGUAACACGUGAGUAACCUGCCCUUGACUCUGGGAUAACUGCGGGAAACUGUAGCUAAUACCGGAUACGACCCUCGGAGGCAUCUCCUGGGGGUGGAAAGAAUUUCGGUCAAGGAUGGACUCGCGGCCUAUCAGCUAGUCGGUGGGGUAAAGGCUCACCAAGGCGAAGACGGGUGGCCGGCCUGAGAGGGGGACAGGCCACACUGGGACUGACACACUGAGCAGACUCCUACGGGAGGCAGCAGUUGGGAAUAUUGCAUAAUGGGCGAAAGCCUGAUGCAGCAACGCCGCGUGAGGGAUGACGGCCUUCGGGUUGUAAACCUCUUUUAGCAGGGAAGAAGCGAAAGUGACGGUACCUGCAGAAAAAGCACCGGCUAACUACGUGCCAGCCGCCGCCGUAA
RNAcentral lists this ribosomal RNA (484 nucleotides) under uncultured bacterium. RNAcentral describes it as "partial 16S ribosomal RNA". It matches the Rfam family "Bacterial small subunit ribosomal RNA", at positions 28 to 523 of the family's 1533-position model. The record is from RNAcentral.